RNAcentral lists this long non-coding RNA (1528 nucleotides) under Mus musculus (house mouse). RNAcentral describes it as "predicted gene, 30262". The record is from RNAcentral. Lineage: Eukaryota; Metazoa; Chordata; Mammalia; Rodentia; Muridae.
ACAGGCAUGAUUUGACAGGAUAAUGCCCUCACUUGAUAAAAGGAGAGACUCUCUGUCAGCUGCCCGCAUCCUCCCUGAAGCUCUGGAAUCUGACUUCAUGGAGCAUUUGAGCAGCUAAGCUUUUCCUGACCCCCUCCCUCCCACCACCACUCCCGCCUUCCCCCAGUUGCUGAGCAUAAUUGAGAAUUAAUUGCAUGUCUGCUUAUUAUUUUGCUUACUUAAUUUGGUCUAAACGUUGUUCACACUCCAGACUUAAGGCCUGGAAGUGGCUGUCUUCAGAGUUCCUAAGAAGCAAUGGACAAAGACCCAGAGUCUGUGCUGGGGGCCUUGGAAGGCUCUAAACCCUGAGCAGCAGUUUACAGAAGAGGCGAACAAUAUGGAUAUGGAGACAAUCUCUGAGACUUGGGAGUGCUCUCCUGUAGGAUCCAAGACUUCUCAUCUUUCCGAUGCGAACUGAAUUAUGCUAGCAUGUCAACCAGGACAUUUCAGAGAAGCAUCGAACAGAAACGUGUUAGUAAACCUCUUACCAGAACACCCUCACUAUCGAUUUUUUUUUGUCACUAAAACACAAACCAGCAUGGGACAUUAAACAGGACCUUUGGUAUUUGGUGUUGGGAAAAUGCCCCCUUGGAUCUAGAGCUCUUUAGGAGUAAUGGCUUCCCGAAAAGAACUAUAGAGAAAAAGAAGGCAGAAUAACCCAGGUGCCUGAGCAUCUUUGAGGAGGCCCCGAUGUGACUACCUGAAACCAGUCUAUGUCAGCACUUCUUGCUACCUGAGAUAUACAUUAUUCAUGGUUUAAGCCAUUCUGAGUCAGGACUUUUUUUUUAUUGAAACUCGGAGCUGGAAAUAGCCAAGUUUACCCACCAAGAAUAACAUCUGGAUUAUGAACCCUGGAAAUAUAACCACUGUCAUUUUGUGUCCCUGGACUAUAUUAAGCUCUACCACAUGGUUUCCAACUUGAGAGUCACUUAGGUUGUCUGUACAGGUGUAUGAGGAAAAGAAAAUCUUAUUUAUGAAUGGAGUGUGGUGAUACACCCUAUCCCGAGCUUUUGUCCCCACCAGCAAGAACAUGCUCAGGACAACCGGAAUCUUCUGCGGCAAAAGCUUUAUUGCUUACUUCUUUAGGAACAAGAGGAGAAGAAUAGGGGCGAAUGGCAAAACCCUGUCCCUUUUAUGGAGGAUUGUCCUCCGCCUCGGACAUGUCGCUCCCUGAUUGGCUGCAGCCCAUCAACCGAGUUGUCGUCAAGGGGAAGGCAGAGCACAUGGAGUGGAGAACUACCCCGGCACAUGCGCAGAUUAUUUGUUUACUACUUAGAACACAGGAUGUCGGCGCCAUCUUGUAAUGGUGAAUGUGAGGGUGGCUCCUCACAACAUCCCUUUAAUCCCAGUACUGAAGGCAGAGGCAGGUGGAUUUCUGAGUCUGAAGACAGCCUGGUAUAGAGAGCUAGUUCCAGGGCUAUACAAGAAGACUCUGUCUUGCAAAAAAUGAAACAAAACAAAAUAAAACAAAUGAAUAAACAAAAAGAAA